This 513-nucleotide ribosomal RNA is filed under the name uncultured bacterium. RNAcentral's name for it is "bacterial SSU rRNA". It matches the Rfam family "Bacterial small subunit ribosomal RNA", at positions 9 to 517 of the family's 1533-position model. The record is from RNAcentral.
GAGUUUGAUCUUGGCUCAGAUUGAACGCUGGCGGCAGGCCUAACACAUGCCAAGUCGAGCGGUAGAGAGAAGCUUGCUUCUCUUGAGAGCGGCGGACGGGUGAGUAAUGCCUAGGAAUCUGCCUGGUAGUGGGGGAUAACGCUCGGAAACGGACGCUAAUACCGCAUACGUCCUACGGGAGAAAGCAGGGGACCUUCGGGCCUUGCGCUAUCAGAUGAGCCUAGGUCGGAUUAGCUAGUUGGUGAGGUAAAUGGCUCACCAAGGCGACGAUCCGUAACUGGUCUGAGAGGAUGAUCAGUCACACUGGAACUGAGACACGGUCCAGACUCUACGGGAGGCAGCAGUGGGGAAUAUUGGACAAUGGGCGAAAGCCUGAUCCAGCCAUGCCGCGUGUGUGAAGAAGGUCUUCGGAUUGUAAAGCACUUUAAGUUGGGAGAAGGGCAGUAAAUUAAUACUUUGCUGUUUUGACGUUACCGACAGAAUAAGCACCGGCUAACUCUGUGCCAGCCGCCG